CCUACGGGAGGCAGCAGUGGGGAAUAUUGGGCAAUGGAGGCAACUCUGACCCAGCAACGCAGCGUGAAUGAUGAAGGUCUUCGGAUUGUAAAGUUCUGUGAUGGGGGAUGAACACAAUGACAGUACCCCAAUAGCAAGCCACGGCUAACUACGUGCCAGCAGCCGCGGUAAUACGUAGGUUGCAAGCGUUAUCCGGAAGGACUGGGCGUAAAGGGUGCGUAGGUGGUUUAGUAAGUUGGCGGUGUAAUUCCGGGGCUCAACCUCGGCGCUACCGCCACAACUAUUAGGCUAGAGUGCGGGGAGGGUAAGUGGAAUUCGUGGUGUAGCGGUGGAAUGCGUAGAUAUUAGGAAGAACAUCGAGGGCGAAGGCGACUUACUGGACUGUAACUGACGCUGAGGCACGAAAGCGUGGGGAGCGAACAGGAUUAGAUACCCGUGUAGUC
This 443-nucleotide ribosomal RNA is filed under the name uncultured bacterium. Its description in RNAcentral is "partial 16S ribosomal RNA". It matches the Rfam family "Bacterial small subunit ribosomal RNA", at positions 338 to 795 of the family's 1533-position model. The record is from RNAcentral.